CCCUCGCUUACUAGCCUUUGUGCCUGUUUAUUCUCCAAGACAUGGGAGUCCUCAAGGUGCAAAUUCUACUAUGCAUGCUACUGCUCACGUCGCUUCUUUUUGUUCCCGGAUCGGAAGCCAAGAUCUGCAAAGAAAAGAGCGAGACCUAUAACGAGUAUCCAUGCUAUUACGAUGCAUGUUUUGAGGCCUGUCAGAAGGAGGGAUUUACCCAGGGGGGAUGCACCGUGGUCAGCUAUAGACCACCUGUAGGGAUGUGUUUCUGUCAAAGAGAAUGUUGAACAAAAGCACGUAGCACCUGUCGUAAAUAUGUGUGGUGUAUCAAAUAAUAUGGCUCAGUAGUACACUGAGUUGACAAUGGUCAAUACCUGAAGUUAAGGCUUUAAUUUACCAAAUAUUUCUUGA
Long non-coding RNA from Lolium perenne, 402 nucleotides. RefSeq lists it as uncharacterized. NCBI's taxonomy places the organism in Eukaryota, Viridiplantae, Streptophyta, Magnoliopsida, Poales, Poaceae. The record is from RefSeq and is a predicted model, not a curated record.